AUAUGGAGAUAAUGAUGGUUACAAGCACAUAUCUGACUCUUAUUAUGUGGAGAACCUCAAUGACUGAAUCUCCUAUGG
This is a small nucleolar RNA of Hucho hucho (huchen), 78 nucleotides long. The record is from Ensembl. Lineage: Eukaryota; Metazoa; Chordata; Actinopteri; Salmoniformes; Salmonidae.